GUAGCAUAAUCAUUUGUCUUUUAAUUAAAGGCUAGUAUGAAUGGUGAGACGAGAAGCUAACUGUCUUAAUUUUUUCUUUUAAAGUUGACUUGUGAGUGCAAAGGCUCACUUAAUCUCAUAGGACGAUCAGACCCUCUGGAGCUUGAAUUGUUUAAUUUUUUAUACUAGAAAUGUUAUUAAUUGAAUAAUUUUUGUUGGGGCGACAAAGAGUUAAAAUAACACUCUUUUAAUCAAACAUCAUGAAUGAAUUCUUGACCCUUUCAGUUAGAGCAAAAGACUAAGUUACCCUAGGGAUAACAGCGUAAUUUUUUUUGAGAGUUCAUAUCGAUAAGAAAGUUUGCGACCUCGAUGUUGGAUCGAAGAAUCAGUAAGGGGUAGUUUUUUUACUGGAGGGUCUGUUCGACCUUUAAAUCUUCACGUGAUCU
Molecule: ribosomal RNA, 425 nt
Filed under: Biapertura sibirica
Lineage: Eukaryota; Metazoa; Arthropoda; Branchiopoda; Diplostraca; Chydoridae
Description: Alona sp. 1 DPK-2020 partial large subunit ribosomal RNA
Rfam family: Bacterial large subunit ribosomal RNA
Source: RNAcentral